GACAGAGGGUGCAAACGUUGUUCGGAAUUACUGGGCGUAAAGCGUGCGCAGGCGGUUUUACAAGCCAGAUGUGAAAUCCCCGGGCUUAACCUGGGAACUGCAUUUGGGACUGUAAGGCUAGAGUGUGUCAGAGGGAGGUGGAAUUCCACGUGUAGCAGUGAAAUGCGUAGAUAUGUGGAGGAACAUCGAUGGCGAAGGCAGCCUCCUGGGAUAACACUGACGCUCAUGCACGAAAGCGUGUGGAGCAAACAGG
This 253-nucleotide ribosomal RNA is filed under the name uncultured bacterium. Its description in RNAcentral is "partial 16S ribosomal RNA". It matches the Rfam family "Bacterial small subunit ribosomal RNA", at positions 524 to 776 of the family's 1533-position model. The record is from RNAcentral.